Molecule: ribosomal RNA, 1370 nt
Filed under: uncultured bacterium
Lineage: Bacteria
Description: partial 16S ribosomal RNA
Rfam family: Bacterial small subunit ribosomal RNA
Source: RNAcentral
UGAUCCUGGUCAGAGCGACGCUAGCGGCGUGCUUACACAUGCAAGUCGAGCGAGAAAUGUGGCUUCGGCCCCUGAGUACAGCGGCGAACGGGUGCGUAAUACAUGAGCAAUCUAUCCUUGAGGCGGGAAUAACCCAGCGAAAGUUGGGCUAAUACCGGAUAAGACCACAAGAGGAAACUCUCGGGGUCAAAGGCCGCUCUCUUUUGGGGGCAGCCCUUCGAGGAGGAGCUCAUGUCCUAUCAGCUAGUUGGUAGGGUAACGGCCUACCAAGGCGAAGACGGGUAGCUGGUCUUAGAGGAUGAUCAGCCACACGGGGACUGAGACACGGCCCCGACUCCUACGGGAGGCAGCAGUGGGGAAUAUUGGGCAAUGGGCGAAAGCCUGACCCAGCGACGCCGCGUGGGUGAUGAAGGCCUUCGGGUCGUAAAGCCCUGUCGGGAGGAAAGAACGAUCGUGUGGUGAAUAGCCACACGAUGUGACGGUACCUCCGAAGGAAGCACCGGCCAAUUCCGUGCCAGCAGCCGCGGUAAGACGGAAGGUGCAAGCGUUGCUCGGAAUCACUGGGCGUAAAGGGUGCGUAGGCGGCUUCUUAAGUCUGGUGUGAAAGCCCAGGGCUCAGCUCUGGAAGUGCACUAGAAACUGGGAAGCUUGAGUACCGGAGGGGAGAGUGGAAUUCCUGGUGUAGCGGUGAAAUGCGUAGAUAUCAGGAGGAAUACCGGUGGCGAAAGCGACUCUCUGGACGGUUACUGACACUGAUGCACGAAAGCGUGGGGAUCAAACAGGAUUAGAUACCCUGGUAGUCCACGCCCUAAACGAUGGAUACUCGACAUACGCGAUAUACUGUGUGUGUCUGAGCGAAAGCAUUAAGUAUCCCACCUGGGAAGUACGAUCGCAAGAUUGAAACUCAAAGGAAUUGGCGGGGGUCCGCACAAGCGGUGGAGCAUGUGGUUUAAUUCGAUGAUACGCGAGGAACCUUACCUGGGCUAGAAUGUCACGCGACAGAGGGUGAAAGCUCUCCUUAUAGCAAUAUACGCGUGAUAAGGUGCUGCAUGGCUGUCGUCAGCUCGUGCCGUGAGGUGUUGGGUUAAGUCCCGCAACGAGCGCAACCCCCAUCACUAGUUGCCAUCAGGUAACGCUGGGAACUCUAGUGAAACUGCCGUCGUAAGACGUGAGGAAGGAGGGGAUGAUGUCAAGUCAUCAUGGCCUUUAUGCCCAGGGCUACACACGUGCUACAAUGGGGUGUACAAAGAGCAGCAACACGGUGACGUGAAGCCAAUCUCAAAAAACAUCUCUCAGUUCAGAUUGAAGUCUGCAACUCGACUUCAUGAAGCUGGAAUCGCUAGUAAUCGUAUAUCAGCAAUGAUACGGUG